Molecule: long non-coding RNA, 3025 nt
Organism: Macadamia integrifolia
Lineage: Eukaryota; Viridiplantae; Streptophyta; Magnoliopsida; Proteales; Proteaceae
Exons: 2
Source: RefSeq, a predicted model, not a curated record
AAAAAGGAAUGGUGGAAUGUAAGUAUUACCAAAAUAUAUGUGUUUCUUUGCUGCUUGUUGUUUGUCAUUUAUGUAUACCCUACUAUAAGGAAAGAAAGAAAUUUGCUAGUGUUUUCCUUUCUUCGUGGUCCCUGCCUUCUGCUCUAUACCAGGUAGACUCCCUUUGGCUGCCCAAUGGCUAUUUGCUCUGCAACAGUUUUUUAGUGUCAAUUGAAUGGAAUAUGGCCAAAAAGUCCUACUACAUCGGUCACAAAGUGUUAUCCGUUUCCUUCUUUUUCUUAUUUUUUGUUCUGAAUUAACCCACAAUCUACAAUUCUCAUGGAUGUUAUCUUGGUGUGAACUUUGAUCAGUCUCCAUAAUAUAUAUAUCUGAGUUGAAUUUGGUCUAGGAGAAACUGGGGAAGAAGGUUCAUCAGCUAAAAUUAGAUACUGAUUUUCCUGCUAUUAUUAUACACAAUUGCACCUACAAGACCAGUUGAUGCUGAUUGUUGCAAUCAUAUUUAUUGUUAGUGGAAACUGCUAUAUAACCAUGUUUCUGGUUCAUGCAUUUUGUUUUCAUAUGUUAUGCUUUACUCUUACGAAAUGUCAAGUACUGAAAUUGAAGUGACAAUCUUCUACCAAAAAAAAAAAAGAAAUUGAAGUGACCAUCAUUGGCUAUUAUCAAAAACUACAAUCAUUUGGGAUACUACGAUCAUUUGAGGGAGUUGACAGAAUCAAGUACCCCAUCCUUCAGACACCUCCUAGAGGUGCUUCAGGUGAAAGGAAUGCCCUGUUCCCAAUGUUGCAAGUUCUCAGCGUCAAAAUUGCAGCAGUAUUCCAGCUUUGCUUUGAGUUAUACUUUGAAUAUUUGUGAUCCAAUAAUUUCUAGAAUUCAACUCUUUUUCAGCUCCAUUCUUUUGAUUCUGAAAUGAAGGCAGUGGGAUUAAUAGAUUCUUCUUUUGUGAGACGCAUAUACCUGUCCUGGGUUUUGGAAGCUUGCAUGAGAAAAUAUCAGAAUCUUAGAAACUUGGUUAGUCUGCUUUAGUGUUGUUAAAUGGAAGCCUAGAUAUUUUUGAUAGAUGAUGUUCUCUCUUUCAAUCCUUGGAUUCAUGUUAUUAAGGUGGGAGCAUCUACAGUCCUUGAACUUAAAAAAAUCUUUACAGCUUCACUUUAAGGGACAUAAAUCCACAGUGGCUGACUUCACUUCUUUUAUAGUCAUGUUCACUGUCUUUGAAUUCAAGCAUACCAAUUCACAAUAUCCAUGGGAAAUAAAACCUAAGUAAUGGGGUUUUCAAAAUCUUAUCUAGAUUUAUGAUUUUGAAGAUUUGGAAUAUUCUUGCUUUCACUGCGAUGAAAUUUGGAAUCCUUAGAACUACGUUUGGAAGGUAAGAAAAGAAAAUAAGACAAAACUAAUGAUGAUGAAUCAAUGAUGAGUUUGUAUAUAUAUAUAUAUAUAUAUAUUGUUUUGGCUUCGAAAUGUAGCAUAUAAGUUCGUCUGAUCGGAAUCCGUGGUUACAUCCCAACAGUCCAGCAUUUCUCUAACACCAUAUAUUUAAGAUGAUGAGUUGACUGACUUUACAUCUAAGUAGGAUGAGGUUGCGAAGUAUUACUGUCACAUGGAAGCCUAAAUCUUUGGGAUACGAAUGGUGUUCUCCAUUUCGAUCUUUGGAUUCAUAAGAGCAUCUGCAAUCUCGAAUUAUAAAUUCUUUAGAACAUGUUUUAUGGGAACAGGGCUGUUUGGUAUGCAAUAUUGACAUAGAUUAUAGGUCUAGAAUGCAUUCUACAGAGAGAGAGAUCGACCUUGAUAGGGGUUGGACACUUGUGACGAUGCAUCUUCCAUCUCGGGAUCCACGGUGUUAAAUCUGAUUUACAAAAUCGUUUCAUGGUGUCAAACUAUAUACACCCCAACACACCCCCCCCCCUCCUAAAAAAAAAAAGGGAAAAUUACAACAUUACCUACUUUUGAGUUUACCUAUACAAAAUUAUCAACAUGGAGUUUUGGGUUUACAAAGCUACCCACUACAGUGUCUCUCUCUCGCCUUUACCUACAUUAUUUGACAUUUUUACCCCUGAUCCUACACCUACCCAUCUUCCCAGCCCGUCCUUCCCCUGCGACCCCAUCCCCGCUCCUGCUAGUUGACGGUAGACCCGAUGACUAUCCUCUCCGGCCACGUUACAAUCCUGUUUGCUGCCACGCCUUCUUCCUCCUUGCUUCAAACAAACCCCGAUGUGGGAAUCACGAUAUGUUGUGAUUUUCACCUUUGAAAAGCUCCGAAUUGCUUUGUUGGCACGAACUCUAGUUCUUCAUCACCGAUGGCACCACCAUCUACUGCUAGUGGGGAUCUACACAGGUGAGCAAAACAAAUCUUGGAAGAAAGUACUGGAUGUCGUUCAUGCUGAAGGCAGCCUCAGAUUUUGUCAACCCUGGUGUGGGGGCAUGAGGAUUGCAGACUAGGUUCCUGAAUGUUCAAGGGAUAAAAGGUGAGCAAACUAAAUCUUAGAAGAAGGUACUGGAUGUCGUUCAUGCCGAAGGCAGCCUCAGAUUUUGUCAACCCUAGGUGGGGGAGGGAGGAAAUGCGACGGACGGUGGGGCUUGAUUACCGUUUCUUCUUCAUCGCCCAACACCAGCCCCAUCCCUUGAAAGUGGAGGAUCCAACUCUCCCUUUCCCAAAAUCGAUUCUCCAGCACUCCGACCCUCUAUCAAUUUCUAGUCUCCUCCGCGGCAUCCACCGUUUCAUUUGGUACCAACUUCUCCUCCGACACCAACACCAUAGGGUUGCAAGGCUGACCAACGAAUCAGGGACAGGAGAAAGGGCAGUGGAGGUAAGGGUUAAAAAUGUCAAAAAAAAAAAAGAGGAUAAGAAUAGGAUACUGUUUUGGUUAGUUUUGUAAAGUCAAAUUCAAGAGUGGGUAAUUUGGUAAAGAUAAAUUCAGAGUGGAUAAUUUGAUUGAUCUUGUAAUUUUCUUAAAAAAAUAAAAAAACACUUUUCUAAUUAUUAGAAGAAAGAAGAGGACGAAAAAAUAAAGAUCAAAGAGCAUUGUGAGUC